Molecule: ribosomal RNA, 459 nt
Filed under: uncultured bacterium
Lineage: Bacteria
Description: partial 16S ribosomal RNA
Rfam family: Bacterial small subunit ribosomal RNA
Source: RNAcentral
CCUACGGGUGGCAGCAGUGAGGAAUAUUGGUCAAUGGGCGGGAGCCUGAACCAGCCAAGUCGCGUGAGGGACGACGGUCCUAUGUAUUGUAAACCUCUUUUGUCGGGGAACAAAGGCGCCCACGGGUGGGCGGAUGAGUGUACCUGAAGAAAAAGCAUCGGCUAACUCCGUGCCAGCAGCCGCGGUAAUACCGAGGAUGCGAGCGUUAUCCGGAUUUAAUGGGUUUAAGGGGUGCGAAGGCGGACAGUAAAGUCAGCGGUAAAAAUGCGGGGCGAAACUCCGUCCAGCCGUUGAAACUGGCAGUCUUGAGUGGGAGAGAAGUAUGCGGAAUGCGUGGUGUAGCGGUGAAAUGCAUAGAUAUCACGCAGAACUCCGAUUGCGAAGGCAGCAUACCGGCGCCAGACUGACGCUGAGGCACGAAAGCGUGGGUAUCGAACAGGAUUAGAUACCCUAGUAGUC